RNAcentral lists this long non-coding RNA (945 nucleotides) under Homo sapiens (human). RNAcentral's name for it is "PREDICTED lncRNA (TCONS_00002073)". The record is from RNAcentral. Lineage: Eukaryota; Metazoa; Chordata; Mammalia; Primates; Hominidae.
AGUUCCUGCCGGGCAGGCUGGGUAGCCGGACUCCCAGCUGCGCCGUCUUCACGGAAGCGGUGCUGAUGCGGGACCUGGGGGACUGCGGUGCUGGGGACUGGCCAGUCCUACCGGGGGCGGGGCUUGUGGAAGACUGGGCGGGAUUUUGAAGACCUAGGUCUUGUGGAUGGUGAACUCACUUGGGGCGGGGAGGGAGGUGGGGCUACCCUGGGGUCUUGGGCAAAGUCCUCGCCUGGCCGGCUUCGCUACCCUUGUGCUUGCGUUGCCCACAAGCUUGUAGUCAGAAGAACUCGCCUGGGAGGGAUCGCUCCUGGGAGAUCCGAACGCGGGAGGGCCUGGAGCGCGGCGGCAGCUGGAUAGCAUUCGGGCCCAUCCGAAUAAGCGCUACUUGAGAGGCUGAGGCAGAAGGAUCGCUUGAGACCAGGAGUUUGAGGGUGCAGUGAACUAUGAUGGCGCCACCACACUCCAGCCUGGGAGACAGAGUGAGACCCUGUCUCUAAAAGAAAAAAGAAAAUUCAAGAUACAGAGCCAGACAGGAGCCUGGAUGGCCAUCUUUCUUCUGAUAGCAAUAAGCUGGAUGCUGGGAUAGAAGCCUGAUACCUCCUCCAACCCUAGUCCUUGGCCUCUAGUUUACUCGCCUGAGGCAAGGGUAGAGUGGAGGAAGAUUUAGGGAAAGCAAGUAGUCCGUUUUAUUGUUACGGACCAGAGAGGUUGGGGGUGCAGAUGAAACCAACAUCUGGUAAGGAGUGUGGCUGAUCAGCCUUGGGCUCUGCUUCCUCAUCCCACCUUUGCUUCCUAUCUCUGGAACUCUUCUAGGGGGAGAUUGAGUUACUUAGUAUGGUAUGGGGAGGUGCAGAGGGUAUGGCUAAUAAACAGCCGGGAAUUCUACUUUGUCUGACUCCUUUCUGUGUAAUCCAGAUCUUAUAUUGAGGGGGUUGGGGAUGG